Oncorhynchus masou masou (cherry salmon) is the source of this 746-nucleotide long non-coding RNA. RefSeq lists it as uncharacterized. The record is from RefSeq and is a predicted model, not a curated record. The transcript is spliced from 3 exons. NCBI's taxonomy places the organism in Eukaryota, Metazoa, Chordata, Actinopteri, Salmoniformes, Salmonidae.
AGCUCCAAGAAGAUGACACAGCUCAAAAUAAAAAUUAGCAAUCAGUACAACCAAGUCAUCGUUAUAAGGCAUCGCCCUCUUUUGCCCACCCCCCCAGCACCAGGUGUGGCCACUAGCCUAUAUGAAGGCCCAAAAUUGUGUGUUCCUUUCUGCUCUGACAAUGGCAUGCCCAUUCGUGCGAGAUGUGGUGGAUGAAGAAGCACUUGUGCUGAGGAGAGCCUUCAGGCGAGAAAGGGUCUUCAGGGACCGGUUGGACCCACUGGCCUUCCCUGAUGACCAUCUAUAUGAAAGAUACAGGUUUUCUGCAGAUGGCAUCAGGUAUCUAUGCAGACUACUGGGUCCCAGGAUUAAGCACCGCACUUCACGGAGCCAUGCACUGAGUGUGGAGCAAAUGGUUUGUGUGGCCUUGCGCUUUUUUGCUAGUGGAGCCUUCCUGUACUCAGUGGGGGAUGCUGAACAAGGCCACAAUUUGCCGCACAAUAAGGAGUGUGUGUCUGGCUAUCAAAGCAUUAGCAGAUGUCUUCAUCUCCUUCCCUGGCCACAGAAGACUCUGUGACAUCAAAGAGGAGUUCUAUAGGAUUGCAGGUUUCCCCAAUGUCAUUGGUGCAGUGGACUGCACACACAUAAGGAUAAAAGCCCCCUCAGGUGCCCAUGAGGCCGAUUUUGUGAAUAGGAAAUCCUUUCACAGCAUUAAUGUUCAGGUGAACAUAACUUUUUGAUAUUGUCCAUUGACGAACACUCUGCAU